GUGGAUGCCCUGGCAGUCAGAGGCGAUGAAGGACGUGCUAAUCUGCGAAAAGCGCCGGUAAGGUGAUAUGAACCGUUAUAACCGGCGAUGUCCGAAUGGGGAAACCCGGUGCACUUCGGUGCAUCAUCGUUAGCUGAAUACAUAGGCUAACGAGGCGAACCGGGGGAACUGAAACAUCUAAGUACCCCGAGGAAAAGAAAUCAACCGAGAUUCCCCCAGUAGCGGCGAGCGAACGGGGAACAGCCCAGAGCCUGAAUCAGCUUGUGUGUCAGUGGAACGGUCUGGAAAGGCCGGCGAUACAGGGUGACAGCCCCGUACACGAAGGCACACAGGCUGUGAGCUCGAUGAGUAGGGCGGGACACGUGAUAUCCUGUCUGAAGAUGGGGGGACCAUCCUCCAAGGCUAAAUACUCCUGACUGACCGAUAGUGAACCAGUACCGUGAGGGAAAGGCGAAAAGAACCCCGGCGAGGGGAGUGAAACAGAACCUGAAACCGUGUACGUACAAGCAGUGGGAGCCUUCGUAAGAGGGUGACUGCGUACCUUUUGUAUAAUGGGUCAGCGACUUAUAUUCUGUAGCAAGGUUAACCGUAUAGGGGAGCCGAAGGGAAACCGAGUCUUAAUUGGGCGUUAAGUUGCAGGGUAUAGACCCGAAACCCGGUGAUCUAGCCAUGGGCAGGUUGAAGGUUGGGUAACACUAACUGGAGGACCGAACCGACUAAUGUUGAAAAAUUAGCGGAUGACCUGUGGCUGGGGGUGAAAGGCCAAUCAAACCGGGAGAUAGCUGGUUCUCCCCGAAAGCUAUUUAGGUAGCGCCUCGUGAACUCAUCUCCGGGGGUAGAGCACUGUUUCGGCUAGGGGGCCAUCCCGGCUUACCAACCCGAUGCAAACUGCGAAUACCGGAGAAUGUUAUCACGGGAGACACACGGCGGGUGCUAACGUCCGUCGUGAAGAGGGAAACAACCCAGACCGCCAGCUAAGGUCCCAAAGUCAUGGUUAAGUGGGAAACGAUGUGGGAAGGCCCAGACAGCCAGGAUGUUGGCUUAGAAGCAGCCAUCAUUUAAAGAAAGCGUAAUAGCUCACUGGUCGAGUCGGCCUGCGCGGAAGAUGUAACGGGGCUAAACCAUGCACCGAAGCUGCGGCAGCGACGCUUAUGCGUUGUUGGGUAGGGGAGCGUUCUGUAAGCCUGUGAAGGUGUGCUGUGAGGCAUGCUGGAGGUAUCAGAAGUGCGAAUGCUGACAUAAGUAACGAUAAAGCGGGUGAAAAGCCCGCUCGCCGGAAGACCAAGGGUUCCUGUCCAACGUUAAUCGGGGCAGGGUGAGUCGACCCCUAAGGCGAGGCCGAAAGGCGUAGUCGAUGGGAAACAGGUUAAUAUUCCUGUACUUGGUGUUACUGCGAAGGGGGGACGGAGAAGGCUAUGUCGGCCGGGCGACGGUUGUCCCGGUUUAAGCGUGUAGGCUGACUUUCCAGGCAAAUCCGGAAAGUUAAGGCUGAGGCGUGAUGACGAGGCACCACGGUGCUGAAGUGACAAAUGCCCUGCUUCCAGGAAAAGCCUCUAAGCAUCAGGUAACAUCAAAUCGUACCCCAAACCGACACAGGUGGUCAGGUAGAGAAUACCAAGGCGCUUGAGAGAACUCGGGUGAAGGAACUAGGCAAAAUGGUGCCGUAACUUCGGGAGAAGGCACGCUGACAUGUAGGUGAAGCCCCUGCGGGUGGAGCUGAAGUCAGUCGAAGAUACCAGCUGGCUGCAACUGUUUAUUAAAAACACAGCACUGUGCAAACACGAAAGUGGACGUAUACGGUGUGACGCCUGCCCGGUGCCGGAAGGUUAAUUGAUGGGGUUAUCGCAAGAGAAGCUCCUGAUCGAAGCCCCGGUAAACGGCGGCCGUAACUAUAACGGUCCUAAGGUAGCGAAAUUCCUUGUCGGGUAAGUUCCGACCUGCACGAAUGGCGUAAUGAUGGCCAGGCUGUCUCCACCCGAGACUCAGUGAAAUUGAACUCGCUGUGAAGAUGCAGUGUACCCGCGGCAAGACGGAAAGACCCCGUGAACCUUUACUACAGCUUGACACUGAACAUUGAGCCUUGAUGUGUAGGAUAGGUGGGAGGCUUUGAAGCGUGGACGCCAGUCUGCGUGGAGCCGACCUUGAAAUACCACCCUUUAAUGUUUGAUGUUCUAACCUGGCGCCGUAAUCCGGCGUGGGGACAGUGUCUGGUGGGUAGUUUGACUGGGGCGGUCUCCUCCCAAAGUGUAACGGAGGAGCACGAAGGUCAGCUAAUCCUGGUCGGACAUCAGGAGGUUAGUGCAAUGGCAUAAGCUGGCUUGACUGCGAGAGUGACGGCUCGAGCAGGUGCGAAAGCAGGUCAUAGUGAUCCGGUGGUUCUGUAUGGAAGGGCCAUCGCUCAACGGAUAAAAGGUACUCCGGGGAUAACAGGCUGAUACCGCCCAAGAGUUCAUAUCGACGGCGGUGUUUGGCACCUCGAUGUCGGCUCAUCACAUCCUGGGGCUGAAGUAGGUCCCAAGGGUAUGGCUGUUCGCCAUUUAAAGUGGUACGCGAGCUGGGUUUAGAACGUCGUGAGACAGUUCGGUCCCUAUCUGCCGUGGGCGCUGGAGAAUUGAGGGGGGCUGCUCCCAGUACGAGAGGACCGGAGUGGACGCAUCACUGGUGUUCGGGUUGUCAUGCCAAUGGCACUGCCCGGUAGCUAAAUGCGGAAGAGAUAAGUGCUGAAAGCAUCUAAGCACGAAACUUGCCCCGAGAUGAGUUCUCCCUGAGACUAUAAGUCUCCUGAAGGAACGUUGAAGACGACGACGUUGAUAGGCCGGGUGUGUAAGCGCAGCGAUGCGUUGAGCUAACCGGUACUAAUGAACCGUGAGGCUUAACCUUACAACGCCAAAGAAGU
Molecule: ribosomal RNA, 2896 nt
Filed under: Cronobacter sakazakii
Lineage: Bacteria; Pseudomonadati; Pseudomonadota; Gammaproteobacteria; Enterobacterales; Enterobacteriaceae
Description: bacterial LSU rRNA
Rfam family: Bacterial large subunit ribosomal RNA
Source: RNAcentral